Molecule: long non-coding RNA, 1303 nt
Filed under: Olea europaea (common olive)
Lineage: Eukaryota; Viridiplantae; Streptophyta; Magnoliopsida; Lamiales; Oleaceae
Description: long non-coding RNA (OEUR_LNC004724)
Source: RNAcentral
ACCAGAAGUAAUAGUGCAGCUAUCUAUCUCCCAUUUUGCGUCUGACCGGUAGGAAGGUAUUCUAGCUUCUACAUUGCACUUGGAUGUGUUUGGUCCAUGCUUUUUCCUUCAUUUUUUUAUCUUUUCGGGGGCUAAAUAUGAAAAGGCCUGUGUUGUCUUUAUAUCUUUUUUCUAACUCUGUAGAUGCUAAUAGCCAUGUUGUGUCUAGUAUUGUGAACUGGUCGUUCCUUUUCUUGUCAAAAUCACAUUAAAAGAGGUCUAUUUUUAUUUUUUGUUUUUUUUUUUCUAUUUAAAGAUGUAAUUUGGUAUACUUUCAUCUGUUCUACACAAACAAGUCAUUAUUUAAAUUUGCCGUUAUGUGUGGAGGUAUGAAUAUUUGAUUUUAAAUUGUUUGAUGUAAACACAUUAUUCUACUUAUACUUUGCAAUGAUGAUGUUAAUAGAUACAGGAAAUAAUUUACAGAUGAUUCAAGAACUUGUCUCUGAGCUUGGCACUGAGUUUUCUCUCAAAGACCACCAUUUCGUCGAAAGUAAAAAGGUUACCAACGGGCUUGAUUCUUUCACAAAUGAAGUAUUCAAGAGACUUGUCGAAUAUUACUAGGUCGAAUAUAACUUGUGUUGUCAACCUAGCAUGUCAACAAUUUCAUACGGAAACAUGUUACAUGUACAUUAAGUUUGGUAUCCUUUAAUAUGGCGACCAUCAAAACCAUUGAUUUUUAUAACAUCUUUUCACAUCACUAGUCAGAUUUUGACACAUACGAUGGAAUGUCAUCCUUAAUAUCAACAAGCAUGUACAUCUAGAUUUAUUCUUUCAUACGAAGCCGGUGUUUGGUUCCAUAUGAAAAGGCCUGUGUUGUCUUUAUAUCUUUUUUCUAACUCUGUAGAUGCUAAUAGCCAUGUUGUGUCUAGUAUUGUGAACUGGUCGUUCCUUUUCUUGUCAAAAUCACAUUAAAAGAGGUCUAUUUUUAUUUUUUGUUUUUUUUUCCUAUUUAAAGAUGUAAUUUGGUAUACUUUCAUCUGUUCUACACAAACAAGUCAUUAUUUAAAUUUGCCGUUAUGUGUGGAGGUAUGAAUAUUUGAUUUUAAAUUGUUUGAUGUAAACACAUUAUUCUACUUAUACUUUGCAAUGAUGAUGUUAAUAGAUACAGGAAAUAAUUUACAGAUGAUUCAAGAACUUGUCUCUGAGCUUGGCACUGAGUUUUCUCUCAAAGACCACCAUUUCGUCGAAAGUAAAAAGGUUACCAACGGGCUUGAUUCUUUCACAAAUGAAGUAUUCAAGAGACUUGUCGAAUAUUACUAGGUCG